ACGGCUCAGUAACACGUGGACAACCUGCCCUUAGGUUGGGUAUAAACCCGGGAAACUGGGUAUAAUACCCGAUAGGUCUCGAUUGCUGGAAUGCAUCGAGAUUUAAAGCUCCGGCGCCUAAGGAUGGGUCUGCGGCCUAUCAGGUAGUAGUGGGUGUAGCGUACCUACUAGCCUACGACGGGUACGGGUUGUGAGAGCAAGAGCCCGGAGAUGGAUUCUGAGACACGAAUCCAGGCCCUACGGGGUGCAGCAGGCGCGAAAACUUUACAAUGCUGGCAACAGCGAUAAGGGAACCUCGAGUGCCAGGUUACAAAUCUGGCUGUCGAGAUGCCUAAAAAGCAUUUCAUAGCAAGGGCCGGGCAAGACCGGUGCCAGCCGCCGCGGUAACACCGGCGGCUCGAGUGGUAACCGUUAUUAUUGGGUCUAAAGGGUCUGUAGCCGGCCGGAUAAGUCUCUUGAGAAAUCUGGCAGCUUAACUGUCAGGCUUUCAGGAGAUACUGUCUGGCUCGAGGCCGGGAGAGGUGAGAGGUACUUCAGGGGUAGGGGUGAAAUCUUGUAAUCCUUGAAGGACCACCAGUGGCGAAGGCGUCUCACCAGAACGGACCUGACGGCAAGGGACGAAAGCUAGGGGCACGAACCGGAUUAGAUACCCGGGUAGUCCUAGCCGUAAACGAUACUCGCUAGGUGUCGGCCACGGUGCGACCGUUGUCGGUGCCGUAGGGAAGCCGUGAAGCGAGCCACCUGGGAAGUACGGCCGCAAGGCUGAAACUUAAAGGAAUUGGCGGGGGAGCACCACAACGGGUGGAGCUUGCGGUUUAAUUGGAUUCAACGCCGGA
RNAcentral lists this ribosomal RNA (836 nucleotides) under uncultured archaeon. Its description in RNAcentral is "bacterial SSU rRNA". It matches the Rfam family "Archaeal small subunit ribosomal RNA", at positions 85 to 922 of the family's 1478-position model. The record is from RNAcentral.